This 973-nucleotide long non-coding RNA is filed under the name Homo sapiens (human). RNAcentral's name for it is "HSALNT0068856". Lineage: Eukaryota; Metazoa; Chordata; Mammalia; Primates; Hominidae. The record is from RNAcentral.
GCCACCAGGGGCUCGGCUCCAGGCUUAGUUAAACGGUUUUUAUCUUCCAUAAAUCCUCCUAAGUUACUUUAAGGCUCAUCAGACCCCCUCAAUUGCUAUUUAAGUGUUUUUUCUGCACUAACUGCUUCUUGUUAAAUAGUUUGACAUUUAUGCGUCUAGACUUCGGUUGUUUUGAUAUUGAUUUGGCCCAGAAUGAUAAUGGAGGAGGCAGCAUUGGUUUUGCUGUCAUUGGCAGCAGCCGUAUAUCUCUGGGAAGUGGAUAUCUUUGUUAUUCUCUCAUACUGGAGCCCAGAGUGAAAACCAUGCAGGAUUCAGAAGGGGCUGCACCAUCCCAAAUGCCCCCCACCUCUUUGGGGCUGGGGAGAUGGUUAAAAAUAGAGGUUGUAGAUGGUGUCUCAGGUGAGGUUUCCUGACAGUUACCAAGCUGGUUCUCUCUAGAGGUAACAGAUGCCAGCAUCACAGGUGGGAGGUAGUGAGCAUCCACGGGGAUAGGGUAGCCAAAGAGGGGUGUUCGCAGCCACCUGAGCUUGCUGGGCCUUUCUUGCCUUAAGUUCCUUGUCUAUGCUUUUCCCUCAGAUUGGAGUGACCUUCUUUGCUUUGUCUUGCAAACUCCUACGCAUCCCUAAAUACCCCAAGUGGAUGCGCCCUUCCCAGGAGGUCUUCUUCAGCUUCCUAAUGAUGCAUGCAGUGAUGAAGGGGCCUCAGAAUCGUCCUUAGAGUCAGCCAGACCCUCCUUGCCACCUGCCUGGCUUACACUAGGCUGUGGCAAUUCUCAUGAUCCGAGCUACUGCUGCAGAUAUCAACCAGGGAGCUUGUGGCCAGAGAGUGAAAUCUCCGAUCAAUACCCGAGAACCGCGUGGAGCCACCAGCUGGGCGGCCUGGUGAGUCACGGCCCCAGGAGGGCGCGGGAAGCCCAGGUGCCCUCGAAGGCCGGCCCCUCUCCCCCUCCUCUCCUCCCCACCUCUGUUCUCAU